Molecule: ribosomal RNA, 483 nt
Filed under: uncultured bacterium
Lineage: Bacteria
Description: partial 16S ribosomal RNA
Rfam family: Bacterial small subunit ribosomal RNA
Source: RNAcentral
GACGAACGCUGGCGGCGUGCUUAACACAUGCAAGUCGAACGAUGAAGCGGGUGCUUGCACUCGUGGAUUAGUGGCGAACGGGCGAGUAACACGUGAGUAACCUGUCCUUUUCUUUGGGAUAACGGCUGGAAACGGCUGCUAAUACUGGAUAUUCAGGCUGCAUCGCAUGGUGUGGUUUGGAAAGGUUUUUUCUGGGAUUGGGUGGGCUCGCGGCCUAUCAGCUUGUUGGUGGGGUGAUGGCUUACCAAGGCUUUGACGGGUAGCCGGCCUGGGAGGGUGGUCGGUCGCACUGGGACUGAGAUACGGCCCAGACUCCGACGGGAGGCAGCAGUGGGGAAUAUUGCACAAUGGACGAAAGUGUGAUGCAGCGACGCCGCGUGGAGGGUGUAGGCCUUCGGGUUGUGAACUCCUUUGUCUCGCGAAAAAGGCACAGUUUUGGCUGUGUUGAUGGUAGUGGGGGAAGAAGCGCCGGCUAACUACGUG